This 945-nucleotide ribosomal RNA is filed under the name Halococcus sp. E4. RNAcentral's name for it is "bacterial SSU rRNA". The stretch from base 247 to 945 matches the Rfam family "Archaeal small subunit ribosomal RNA", at positions 1 to 701 of the family's 1478-position model. The record is from RNAcentral. Lineage: Archaea; Methanobacteriati; Methanobacteriota; Halobacteria; Halobacteriales; Halococcaceae.
GUUGGAUUCGCUUCCGGACACCUUUCGAAGGGUUUAUACCCUCGAACGGUGUACGAUGAAUUCCGAAGGAAAUGAGGAUUUCCGCCCCUGCGGUCCGCCGUCCAAGACGGGAUUCUGAUGUUCAGCCCUGAUAGUUCGGUGACCACCCGGUUCGGUCCGCGGUGUUCGCCGAGUGCGAACCCGAUAGGGUGAACACAACACCCUUGUGUUUCCCGCCUAAACCCCCCGAGCCCUUGUGCUCGGGACAUUCCGGUUGAUCCUGCCGGAGGCUAUUGCUAUCGGGAUCCGAUUCAGUCAUGCUAGUCGCACGGGCUCAGACCCGUGGCGAAUAGCUCCGUAACACGUGGUCAAACUACCCUCUGGACUGGGACACCCUCGGGAAACUGAGGCUAAUCCUAGAUACUGCUUUCAUGUUGGAAUACAGAAAGCCGGAAAUGGUCCGCCGCCGGAGGACGUGACUGCGGCCGAUUAGGUAGACGGUGGGGUAACGGCCCACCGUGCCGAUAAUCGGUACGGGUUGUGAGAGCAAGAACCCGGAGACGGACUCUGAGACAAGAGUCCGGGCCCUACGGGGCGCAGCAGACGCGAAACCUUUACACUGCACGACAGUGCGAUAAGGGGAUCCCGAGUGCGAGGGCAUACAGUCCUCGCUUUUCGUGACCGUAAGGUGGUCUCAGAAUAAGGGCUGGGCAAGACCGGUGCCAGCCGCCGCGGUAAUACCGGCAGCCCGAGUGAUAGCCACUCUUAUUGGGCCUAAAGCGUCCGUAGCUGGCCGAACGGGUCCGUCGGGAAAUCCACCCGCUCAACGGGUGGGCGUCCGGCGGAAACCAGUCGGCUUGGGACCGGAGGACCUGCGGGGUACGUCCGGGGUAGGAGUGAAAUCCUGUAAUCCCGGACGGACCGCCGGUGGCGAAAGCGCCGCAGGAGGACGGAUCCGACAGUGAG